This 44-nucleotide non-coding RNA is filed under the name Trichobilharzia regenti. Lineage: Eukaryota; Metazoa; Platyhelminthes; Trematoda; Strigeidida; Schistosomatidae. The record is from RNAcentral.
AUCCAGAGACGAGUCCAAAGCAGGACGAAAUGCACAUCUUGGAU